CUCAUCUCACCGCACGCGUAAGGCUCGCACUCACCGUCGCAUGUGUAUCUUCUGGCACAACCUCGUGGUUCGGCACCUAUCGAGCGCAUGAGCUUGCUUACCUGAUUGACGUUUCGAUGGACUUUGACGAGAUCAUCGCGGACGCCGCAGCAUGGCAGGAAUGGGGCAGCAACGGCAGCAAUGCUUAGGCCGGCGUUGCGCGGUGCCGUCCAGGCACCUCCAUCCUUACAGUCCGUCGGACAGCGCUGCCCAUCAUGCACGCGUCGGGAGCUCCGACGAUUCAUGCAGCUGAGGCGACACCUGCGGCAGAAGCGGUGCCGUUGUAGUUGGCGGCGUGUCUGGUAGUGUCUGCAGUUCUUAGCCGCUGGCUGUCUGUGUUUGUGCAGCUGUAGAGUCCCAGGGAAGACAGCGAGCGGCACAGAGCAGUACCUCUGACACCCCCAGCUCGUCUCCUGCGAGCGCUUCCGUGUCACAGGCGGCGACAAGGCCUGGGAACGGAGAAAACGGGGCAGUCAUGCGGAGCAUUCGCACCGCUGUGCCUCUGCAUCAAGCGACGUCGAUCGAUGCUGUUGCGCCUCUCGACUGCGUCUCCGACCCGCUGGCUCCCGGGUGAGCACCCGUUGCUCCAGGCACGCAGACGCUGCCCGGAUACCCUUGGCCCAGCGCUCCCUCGGGGAAUGUAGGCUGCGGCGAAGGGGCGGCGUAUUACGCGCGGGCGCCAGCGACGGACGGCGGGGAGGGGGUGCCGCACUGGUGCGCAGGCUGCAGCCUCUCGGGCCCUGGAAUAAAACAGUAAGUAGCAUUGCACCUUCUUUGCCUCCCCUUCCUAUGCAACUGCCUCUACUGCCGAGGGCCCUUCUGCACAAGUGCGCCAUCACCUGCAUUCGCCAAGACCGCUGUGCGCCCCACUUCAGCACGGGCUUUGUAAGAGCGCGUGGUUGGAGAAUCCGCGAGGGCUGCAAGCUUCGGGCACUGAACUCAGCAGGUGGCCACUCGGUCACGUGCUCUGCGUGAAUCAUCUUUUCUUCAGCACUUUGCGCUCAAUUUUGUGCAACUUGCUUUUCACUGCUGCCGUCCUCAGCACGCUUCCCUCUCCCUCCUCCUCUGUAUCUAAGGGUUGUCGCUUGAGGGAGGGGGCGUGCCUGCAAGUGUGUCUCUCCUUUCCGAUCAUCCUUUCUGGCUUCUUUCAGGCGCCUUUUCCCGUAUGAUUGCUCGGUGGCGUUUGCAUGUUUGCCGCCUCCCCCCUCCUCUCCUCAUCCCCUUCGCUUCACCCCUCUCCUUCCCUGCUGUGCACGGCUAUGUGAUUGUCUCCGGCUGCGCGCACCUUACCCACGCAACAGAAAUCAGAUGGUGUAAGGCCAUAAAAAACUAUCCCCCCCCUUCUAGGCGCACAGCAUGUCGCUAUGUAGGUGCCUCCAUAUGCUCUCGUUGUCAGCCCCCGCCUUCUUUUUCUUGUGUGCGUUCUACGUCUUCUCGCCUCUCCCGCCAACUGCAUUUGCUCUGCUCUCGACUUGUUUGUUUGCAGAGGCGCGGCUGCUUGGCUGUGUCGCACCCCCCGCUCUCCCCAUCUCGCCUUCGCUUUUCUUGACGUUUGUGCGCGUGUGUGAAACAGUUGUGAGGGACGACGAACG
This 1631-nucleotide unclassified non-coding RNA is filed under the name Leishmania donovani. Its description in RNAcentral is "gene:unknown". Lineage: Eukaryota; Euglenozoa; Kinetoplastea; Trypanosomatida; Trypanosomatidae. The record is from RNAcentral.